Molecule: ribosomal RNA, 253 nt
Filed under: uncultured bacterium
Lineage: Bacteria
Description: partial 16S ribosomal RNA
Rfam family: Bacterial small subunit ribosomal RNA
Source: RNAcentral
UACGUAGGGGGCAAGCGUUGUCCGGAAUUAUUGGGCGUAAAGAGCGCGUAGGCGGUCCGAUAAGUCGGCUGUGAAAGUCAGGGGCUCAACCCUUGGAAGCCGGCCGAUACUGUCGGACUAGAGUCCGGAAGAGGCGAGUGGAAUUCCCGGUGUAGCGGUGAAAUGCGCAGAUAUCGGGAGGAACACCAAUGGCGAAGGCAGCUCGCUGGGACGUUACUGACGCUGAGACGCGAAAGCGUGGGGAGCAAACAGG